UCAAUUUUAAAUUUUCUAUCAUUUUCUAUUAAAAACUCAGAAACAACACAAAGAAAAACUUCAAGUUUUCUAUUCUUUUCUUUUCUGUUCUAAUUUUAAGUUUUCUAUCCUUUUCUUUUCUUUUCUUUUCUUUUCUGUUCAAAACUCAGAAGUGUUAGAUCCCAAUCGAGCUACAUCGAUGCUAUUGAUGAAAUUAGGGCUUUAAUAAGUUGUUCCAGAUGCGGGAAGGAGAAUAGAUGGAAAAGACAAACAUACCCCUAUCAAAUCCACACGUGUGCGAGUCCCGGUCACUUUUCACCAAUUAAGUUCAAAAAGUGUGGGUUUUGUUUAGAUGAAAUGAAGUUCGUGCUGUACUUAGGAACCUUUUCGUGUAUUAACAAUGUUGUAAAGUUUGAG
RNAcentral lists this long non-coding RNA (396 nucleotides) under Panax ginseng (ginseng). RNAcentral describes it as "long non-coding RNA (PGIN_LNC015036)". Lineage: Eukaryota; Viridiplantae; Streptophyta; Magnoliopsida; Apiales; Araliaceae. The record is from RNAcentral.